Molecule: unclassified non-coding RNA, 2138 nt
Filed under: Onthophagus taurus
Lineage: Eukaryota; Metazoa; Arthropoda; Insecta; Coleoptera; Scarabaeidae
Description: uncharacterized LOC111415102, transcript variant X1
Source: RNAcentral
GAAAGAGUAAUGCAAUCAGAAUUGAUGCAAUUUGAAAGAGAAGAUGCAGAAAAACGGCUUCGUCUACCUGAAAAAUCCGAAGAAGAUUUAUCAAUAGUUGAGGCGAAACCGUCAACACCCGCAGAUAAAGUAAUGGAUGUGGUGAGAGCGGUAGAGACCUUAGCUCAUGGCCCGGAAGCGCUGGUGCCGCCGAAAAGCCCUGGCGGGCAAAACGCGGAGUUAAAAACGACCACAAUCGUCAUGAGCAAACACACAUUAGCCACUCAAAACUCAACGGAUGAACAUCAAAACGAUUCGAUUAAAUCGAAAGAAGAAAAAGAAGAUUUAGAUUUGAAUCGAGCAUCGUUUAAUUUAAGCGAUAUCCCACCACCAAUCGAGGAUUUUCCUGUGUUUGAUUUUGUGGUUCCUCCCCCGAUUAUUGAAGAACCCAUCGAAAUAAAUUCGCUUAUUGUGCCUCCACCCCCACCCCCAAUCGAUUUUGCAUUAAGUGACGAAGAAGUAAUAGAUAAAGAAGAGGAGGAAGUAAAAAAGUUGGAAGAAAUAAUCGAUGAUAUUCAACUCAUCAAUAAAACCCCAUCCUUCGAUAAAGAAAUUGAAGAAUUUGUUGAAAAAUUUAAUAAAAGUGAUGCCUCAUCCCUUAUUAUAACAGAAAAAAGUUUAGAUAUUUCCGUAGAGAAUGGAGAAGAAGAAGUUAUUGAAGAAAUUGAGAAAAAAGAUUCAAAUUUAAAUGAUACUUUGAAUCGAUUCCGAAAAAAAAGUCAACCCGAUUUAAAAUUAGAAACUUCAUCUCCAAAAACUUUAGACCCAAACGAUGAUAUCCCACCACCUUUACCAUUAACCCCACCUCCUACAAUUAUUGAAGAACCAAAAUUGGAUGUUUUAAAAAUUCAUUCGGAAUCGACGGUUCAAAAAACGGAUUCGUUCGCGGAUAAAUUAUUUAAAAAAUACGACGAUGUUAAAGUUUUCAAACCAAAAAUCCCCCCUCAAGUUCCAACAAAACCGAAAUCAUGGGCUAAAUCGACUUCGAAUUUAUUAAGCGAAGAUGCACCUCAAAAUAACUUAAAAUUCGUUCGGUGCGUUUCCCGGGAAGGAGUUUUAGGGGAAAGUUAUGAUUUUCACGUGACUAAUCCGUUUUUGGUCGAUAUGAAGGAUAAUUUUACGUUUCAUAGUGUUCAAGAAUUAGAAAUAAAUCAAAAGCCACCUCCUUCACCGAAAACUAAAAAGGUACCGAUGAGUGAACGAUUGAAAUUCUUUGAAAACGCGAUGGAAGAGAGUCAGAAACCGUCGCCGAAACCGGAAAAGGUUUUUAGUUAUUUAAGCGCGGAUGAAAUUGAAAAGAUGAAAGCGGAGGAGGAACGAAAAAUUGCGACUUUGAAACGAUCCGAAAUCGGGUCUUUGGGGAUUUUAGAUCAUUCUGAUGAAGAAAUUUAUGAACCACCUGCUCGGCCUGCGAGUACAAUCGGAGUAGUUCGUACCGCAAAAGCUGAACGUCGUUUACGCGAUCAACUCCGAGACGAAGGUCUUUUAACCGACGAUGACGAAAUAAAUGCGAAAUCGCCAGCCGAAGAAAGAGCAAUUCGUGCUGAAAAACGCGCCGCUUGGCGCCAAGCCCGUUUAAAAUCACUCGAAAACGACGCAAUCCAAGCUCAGAUGGUCAUCAAAUCAAUGGCCGACAUGGUAGUUAUGCCCGAAAAUACUCAAGAACAACAAGAAAUCGAUAACGAAAUCGAAGAAAAAACUCAAUUAAGACCGAAUUCGGGGGAUUUCCCGAAGUUGUCGGUUCGAACGGAACCCGGAAAUAAGACGGUUCGUGAAAGCGAAAAAGUGAUCGAUGAGAAAAUAACGAGAAGAACCGAGGAGUAUUUGGAUGAAGUGACGGGGGAGAAAAAAGUCAGGACGGUGGAGUACGUGGAGAAAUUGAUCGAGAGAGAGGUAUAGAGAGAGUGAAAAGCGCGUCUUGCAUGUCUACAACGCACUGUUCUUUUUAGCCUUGCUACGGUUGAAACGUUACAAGAAAAAAUUAUUUCUUUAGAAUUAACAGACCAAAUCGAAUCGAACCAAAUCGAAUUAUUAACUGAAAUCACAACGUUAGAUAUUUGCGUAAACGGAAAUAAUAACGUUAACGUCAAUAAUAUCGA